AUUAUUUAGGUGUGAGCCACAGCACCCGGCCCAGACAUUGUUUGAAGCCACCCAUUUCAUGGUUCUUUGCUGCAGUGGUUGUGGAAUAUGAAUGCACUCGUGCUGUUGGUUAGACUUUGCUGACCUUGUGUCUGUUAUUCCCUGGCAGUUCUACAAGGCCUGGAGCAGAUACGAAAAACCUCCCUUCUUUGCCAAAUGGUCCCCAGCUUCCCCAUUCACUGAAGGCCCUGCGGUCAGGAACAGUCAGGACUUUGCACCCAGUUGUUGUGAGUGUUGGCCGACCCUUCCUCUUGUGUGAUUCAUGGACCCUUAGCAUUGCAUCACCUGGGAGCUUUUGGAAUUGAAGACUCUCAGCGCUCACCGGAAGGACCUCCUGGGCCAGAAUCUGCAUUUUAACAAGAUGCCCAGGGCUUCUCAACCAGGGGGUGAUUUUGCCCCCAAGAGAACAUGUGGCCAUGUCUGGAGACAAUUUUGGUUGUUGCAGCUGGAGGAGGUGGUGCUACUGGCAGCUAAUAGGUAGAGGCCACGGAUGCUGCUAAACAUCCUACAAUGCUCCGGACAACUCCCACUAAGACAAAAGAAUGAUCCAGCCCCAAAUGUCAAUAGUGCUGAAAGUGAGAGACCCUGAUUCCAUCUUAGAGAUCAUCCAAGCACACUUGGCCAAAUAGUUUUUGCUACUAUCCCAUGAAGAAAAGGCAGACUCAUGACUGAUGGCAACGUCGAUGGGAAUUUUGUUUACUUCUUCUUUGUGGACUUUGGGAUACGAUGACUUACCAUUUGUGCAAGUUGUGCAUUGCAUACCUCCAGGGGGCGCCACCCACAUAUUUAUGAAAAUGCCACCCCAGGAAUUGCACAGUACAUAGUCUACAUGGCAAUAAACAGUUGCUCUGGUUUUGGGGUUGUCCUGGGUUGCUCUGGAACUGGGAGGAACUUUAUUUCUGGCCAUUAGAGGCCCUGAGCAUGACAUUGAGUAUCCUUUCAAGAAAGGAGAAAUGUUGAACAGAGAGGACCUCAUUUUUAUAACUCUUGACCAUCAUCUAGUUACGCAGCAUCCACUUUUCACCCCUGGGCCAUAUCCAUUUGACGGAUGAAAAAUCAUCAAAUUAUAAUAUCAUGGCUUUUACUUUUGAUAGCUUCUGCCCGGAACAUGGCGGUAACAGCUUCUCAUUUUCAAUUGAUUCAUUGGGGGAGAAAAUAUACACGACUGCCCUAAGACUUUCUAUUACAUACCAUUUGUUUGACGGGAUUUCUUUAGUUUCUGUAGCAUAACUUAUUCUAACUGGUCCUCAAUCACUUUGCAAUAAAACCUGAGAUUGUGAA
This 1320-nucleotide long non-coding RNA is filed under the name Homo sapiens (human). Its description in RNAcentral is "HSALNT0314633". Lineage: Eukaryota; Metazoa; Chordata; Mammalia; Primates; Hominidae. The record is from RNAcentral.